This 72-nucleotide transfer RNA is filed under the name Camelus bactrianus (Bactrian camel). It matches the Rfam family "tRNA". From Rfam's summary of the family: Transfer RNA (tRNA) molecules are approximately 80 nucleotides in length. Their secondary structure includes four short double-helical elements and three loops (D, anti-codon, and T loops). Lineage: Eukaryota; Metazoa; Chordata; Mammalia; Artiodactyla; Camelidae. The record is from Rfam by way of RNAcentral. RNAcentral also lists the same sequence under 1 other name.
AAGGGUAUAGCUCAGUGGUAGAGUGCGUGCUUAGCAUGCACGAGGUCCUGGGUUCAAUCCCCAGUACCUCCA